GCCUGGCUGCAGAGUUCUGGACGUACUGGAGCCUGUCCAGGGCUUUGCUGGUGACCCCGAACAGGACUCCAUUGCAGUAGUCCAGGCGUGAGGAGAUUAAUUAAUGUUUCUGCAACGGGGUCGGGAGAGAGGGCCGGAGUCUAGAGAUGUUUUGAAGGUGGAAGAACGCAGUUUUGACAGUUGACGUGAUGUGGGAGUUGAAGGUGAGGCUAGAGUCCAGAGUGACGCCCAGGCUGCAAACCUCAGGGGAAGGGUGGAUGGAGCAGCCAUCGAUGGUGAGGAGGAGAUCUCCGACCUUCCGGAGCAGUGUUUUUGGGGCCACAACCAUGAGCUCUGUUUUGUUUUUAUUGAGUCUCAGUAGAUUUGUUGACAUCCAGGUUUUGAUGUCGUGGAGGCAGUUGACUACUGACGGUGGGGGUAGCUGGGAUGAUGGAUUGGUGCUAAUGUAGAGUUGGGUGUCGUCGGCAUAGGAGUGGAAGUUGAGACCAUGUUGGCGGAUGAUUUCACCGAGGGGGAGCAUGUAGAUGUUAAAUAGAAGGUUGGGUGCAAAGCCUGCAGGCAGCAGUGAGACUCGGCCCCCCGCAGCUGUAGUGACCCUUACCGCUGCAAGAUGGACUAUCCCUGCAUCGGAACCUGUCUGAUCAUCAACAAGAACUUCCACCCAAGCACAGGUACACACUGGAUGAAGGAGAUUGUCCCUCUGAUCAUGAGUGGAGGAGAUCCAGAACCUGUUGACAAUAUUGUUAACUGGAAACGUGUUCCCUGGCUUGAAUUGCAGCAGACCGCCUCCCUCGAACUUGAACAGAGGCCCUCUCCACGACUGUUGACUACACACUUCCAGUACAACAUGA
Molecule: long non-coding RNA, 851 nt
Organism: Gymnodraco acuticeps
Lineage: Eukaryota; Metazoa; Chordata; Actinopteri; Perciformes; Bathydraconidae
Exons: 3
Source: RefSeq, a predicted model, not a curated record